AUUGAACGCUGGCGGCAGGCCUAACACAUGCAAGUCGAGCGGAUGAAGGGAGCUUGCUCCUGGAUUCAGCGGCGGACGGGUGAGUAAUGCCUAUGAAUCUGCCUGGUAGUGGGGGAUAACGUCCGGAAACGGGCGCUAAUACCGCAUACUUCCUGAUGGAGAAAGUUGGUGAUCUUCGGACCUCACGCUAUCAGAUGAGCCUAGGUCGGAUUAGCUAGUUGGUGGGGUAAAGGCCUACCAAGGCGACGAUCCGUAACUGGUCUGAGAGGAUGAUCAGUCACACUGGAGCUGAGACACGGACAUGACUCCUAAGGGAGGCAGCAGUGGGGAAUAUUGGACAAUGGGCGAAAGCAUGAUCCAGCCAUGCCGCGUGUGUGAAGAAGGUCUUCGGAUUGUAAAGCACUUUAAGUUGGGAGGAAGGGCAGUAAGUUAAUACCUUGCUGUUUUGACGUUACCAACAGAAUAAGCACCGGCUAACUUCGUG
RNAcentral lists this ribosomal RNA (484 nucleotides) under uncultured bacterium. RNAcentral describes it as "partial 16S ribosomal RNA". It matches the Rfam family "Bacterial small subunit ribosomal RNA", at positions 30 to 507 of the family's 1533-position model. The record is from RNAcentral.